CUUACAAGGAUGACAAGCACAACGAGCACCGGGAGAGGAAGAGGGGGUUCCUAUGUUGUGUUUUGCAUCGCCUCCACCAACCCCCUGCGCUUCUUCUUCCACUCCGGCAUAGGUAAGCCCCUCUCCGCUCUGCUCUCUCAUGCGCGUGCUUGUGUGCAAUGCCACUGAACCGUGGUGAAUCUCAUGCUGGCCAUCGUGCCAUGGCAAAGUUCUCUGGUUUUUGGCUAUCGUGAUAUACAUGAGUCUCGUGCUGUGUGUGAUGCCUUUCUCUUGAUUGUUUGAUUCCUAGGGCUAGGUCAAUGCCCAUGACACUUGCAUCCAACCGCAAGAGCACAACAUCAGCAUCCCUACAGAUGUGAAGAUGCCCAUCUCCAAUGGUUUCUACCGCCAUAUCUACAACCCCGACUAGAUUUAUCAAUGUAUGGGAUCUCUCCUUAUCCAGCGGUCAGUCCGACAUCUGGCAUAUAGGGCGACAUCAGCAUCCCUACAGAUGUGAAGCUGCCCAUCCUUAAUGGUUUCUACUGCCAUAUCUACAACCCUGACUGAAUUUAUCAAUGUAUGGGAUAUCACCUUAUCUGGUGCUCACUCUAACGCCUCCGGCAUAGAGGAUGACAUCAGCAUCCCUAGAGAUGUGAAGCAGCCCAUCCUUAAUGGUUUCUACUGCCAUAUCUACAACCCCG
This is a long non-coding RNA of Triticum aestivum (bread wheat), 680 nucleotides long. RefSeq lists it as uncharacterized. The transcript has 4 exons. The record is from RefSeq and is a predicted model, not a curated record. Lineage: Eukaryota; Viridiplantae; Streptophyta; Magnoliopsida; Poales; Poaceae.